AAGAAGUUAGUUUAAAAUAAAACAUUAACUUGUCAAGUUAAAAAUAUUCAAGCAAUAUUUCUUA
RNAcentral lists this transfer RNA (64 nucleotides) under Notonectidae sp. MT-2014. RNAcentral describes it as "tRNA-Asp". It matches the Rfam family "tRNA". Rfam says of the family: Transfer RNA (tRNA) molecules are approximately 80 nucleotides in length. Their secondary structure includes four short double-helical elements and three loops (D, anti-codon, and T loops). The record is from RNAcentral. Lineage: Eukaryota; Metazoa; Arthropoda; Insecta; Hemiptera; Notonectidae.